Molecule: ribosomal RNA, 500 nt
Filed under: uncultured bacterium
Lineage: Bacteria
Description: partial 16S ribosomal RNA
Rfam family: Bacterial small subunit ribosomal RNA
Source: RNAcentral
AUUGAACGCUGGCGGCAGGCCUAACACAUGCAAGUCGAGCGGUAGAGAGAAGCCUGCUUCUCUUGAGAGCGGCGGACGGGUGAGUAAUGCCUAGGAAUCUGCCUGGUAGUGGGGGAUAACGUACGGAAACGGACGCUAAUACCGCAUACGUCCUACGGGAGAAAGCAGGGGACCUUCGGGCCUUGCGCUAUCAGAUGAGCCUAGGUCGGAUUAGCUAGUUGGUGAGGUAAUGGCUCACCAAGGCGACGAUCCGUAACUGGUCUGAGAGGAUGAGCAGUCACCCUGGAACUGAGACACGGUCCAGAGUCCUACGGGAGGCAGGAGUGGGGAAUAUUGGACAAUGGGGGAGAGCCUGAUCCAGCCAUUCCGCGUGUGUGAAGAAGGUCUUCGGAUUGUAAAGCACUUUAGGUUGGGAGGAAGGGUUGUAGAUUAAUACUCUGCAAUUUUGACGUUACCGACAGAAUAAGCACCGGCUAACUCUGUGCCAGCCGCCGCCGUAA